UGUCCUGCUGUGCUCCGGCUGAGCCUCAGCUGCUAUGGACGGAUCUCCGAAACAUGUCCCUCUUCACUCCUGCAGCUCUAAACAGUCUGAAAUGCGUGUAAUGUCCUGUAACUGUCUCUUCAUGAUUGGCUGUGAGGAAAUGUUGAGCGGAUUGAGGAGAGGACACACCUCCACCUGUCCGGAUGCUUCAAACACAUCCUCAUGUAAUAGUACUGGAGCAUUAGCAUGUGCUGGUAAUUAACUCUACGGGACUUUUAAAAUGUUUAUUCACGGGUUUAUUUUCUUUACUUGAGAGCAAAGCAGAGCAUGUAUGAACGCAGAGCGAGUCCAACUGAACAACGAGCACAUUAUUCCAUUCGUUCAUUUUAUUUGAUGUUUCGAUGAAGUAAUUGUCCUGUAAUUAGUUUUAGUCUAGGUGAGCUAAUUAAAAUGUGAAAACCAUAUUCAUUUUGGGUGUUGGUGUUCUUUUAGUAUCUUUGUUUGUUUCAUUAUUCGUGACAGUCACAUAUCUGCCAUGUUGUAUUGUAUUUAAAAUUAUUAUAAGUAUUAUUCAUUUUCCUUCAGCUUAGUCUCUAUUUUAGGGGUCACCACAGUGGAAUGAACCACCAACUAUUCCAGCAUAUGUUUUACACAGCGGAUGCUCUUCCGCCCGCAACCCAGUACUGGGAAACACCCAUACAUGCACUCGUACACUACGGCCAAUUAGUUAAUCAAUUCCCCUAUAACACAUGUGUUUGGACUGUGUGGGAAACUGGGAGGAAACCCACACCAACACAGGGAGAACAUGCAAACUCCACACAGAAACACCAACUGACCUAGCCGGGGCUCGAAAUAGCAACCUUCUUGCCUUUGAGACCACCGUGCCGCCCUAUUAUUUUUUAACUGGUCGUAGUGUGGGUGGAUGAGCGUGUAUGGGUGUUUCCCUGUACUGGGUUGCUGCUGGAAGUGCAUCCGCUGCGUAAAACAUGCUGGAAUAGUUGGUGGUUCAUUUCGCUGUGGUGAUCCCUGAUUAAUAUUAAGGGACUAAACCAGGGGUGUCCAAACUCAGUCCUGGAGGGCCGGUGUCCUGCAAAGUUUAGUUCCAACCCCAAUCAGACUCACCUGAGCUAGCUAAUCAGCUCUUACUAGGCUUUCUAGAAACAUCCUUGCAGUUGUAGUGAGGCAAGUUGGAGCUCAAAUCUGCAGGACUGCGUUUGGGCACCCCUGGACUAAACCAAUGGAGAAUGAUUGAAUGCUUCACUAACUACAGUGUGGUUCACGUAUACUGUAGUAUUAACUAUUCCCACCUGUGUGUAACACCGAAUAAUAAUAAUGAUUUGUAUAUUUUUCUUCCAAUAUGUUUCUGAGAAGUGUAAUUUCAGUUACAGAAAUAAAUGUAAAUAUGCUUA
RNAcentral lists this long non-coding RNA (1388 nucleotides) under Danio rerio (zebrafish). RNAcentral's name for it is "lncRNA si:ch211-7c8.2 (ENSDARG00000098378.2)". The record is from RNAcentral. Lineage: Eukaryota; Metazoa; Chordata; Actinopteri; Cypriniformes; Danionidae.